This 83-nucleotide transfer RNA is filed under the name Caudoviricetes sp. RNAcentral describes it as "tRNA-Ser". It matches the Rfam family "tRNA". Rfam says of the family: Transfer RNA (tRNA) molecules are approximately 80 nucleotides in length. Their secondary structure includes four short double-helical elements and three loops (D, anti-codon, and T loops). The record is from RNAcentral. Lineage: Duplodnaviria; Heunggongvirae; Uroviricota; Caudoviricetes.
GGAAGAGUGAUGAAAUGGUAGCCAUAGCAGUUUGCUAAACUGCCGUCCGAAAGGGCGUGGGAGUUCAAUCCUCCCCUCUUCCG